Molecule: long non-coding RNA, 8309 nt
Organism: Phragmites australis (common reed)
Lineage: Eukaryota; Viridiplantae; Streptophyta; Magnoliopsida; Poales; Poaceae
Exons: 4
Source: RefSeq, a predicted model, not a curated record
UAAAAAAAUAAAAAAAAUUCAAGCUUCGCCCCUCUCAAAAUUCCUUCCGGCUGCCCGCUGCCGCACUCUCCCCGUCGGCCAGCGCCCCCGUCCAUGUCGCCGCCUCCAAGCCCUAAUCUGUGCCCCAUCCGCAACGGCACGCUUCUCCUCCCACCCGGCCACCCUUUGCCGCCCCCAUGUUCGUGCUGCCUCCGCCUCCUCCUACGAAGGCAAGCGCGUCGUAGCCUCCACGCCCUCUCUUCUCUAUCCCUCGCUAUCUAAUGCCGGGUCCGCCUCUCGAGGACCGGUCGCGGGAGCCCCACGUGCUCCGCCGCCACGCGGGGGCACCGACGUUGCCACCCGCAACUUAUUAUGGCUAAUAGCCCGGGGGCGUAGAGCUCUCCAUCGACGCGACGCUUGACUGCAUCCCCGGGCGCCGGCUUCGAUCCGACCCCGUUUCCCUCGCCGUGAGUUUGCUGCUCAGGGAGGUUCCGUGGGCUGUGUCACCUCGUUGAUAGGAUCACCGUGUUCGUGUAUGCGGAUUGCAGAAUUCUGGACACUGUAGGUAGGAAACAUGUGGGCAAGGUCAAGCCUUUGUUUCUGCUGCAGUGUGCGCUGUUCCCGGCCUACUUAGUCCCUUUGGACUUUGCUCAUGAUUCUAUUUGCUAGGUCUUGCAUUCUAUGCAUAGAACAAAGAUUUGCAUGAAAUAAGUUGAGCCAACUUAUUUGGGUUAUGGUUAACACCUAUGCUAUGGAGUGGAUGGAAUGUUCCAGAUUUGUAAAAUGGAUCAGUAAUUACUUCAUCCUUUUCCUCAGUAAUCCCUGGUUAAAAAGUCAUUUAUAGUUGUUUUUAGAACAAGUCACUUAUAGUUACGUGCCAAUAUUUUUUCUGUUUGCACUAAAUGAAUACUCUCGGUAUCUCUGUAUCAAGUUCAGGGAAAUUAUAGCAUGUAAAUUUCGAUGGAUAGGGUCAUGCAGGGAACUUGGGCAACAUUCUGCUGUUAAGCCAUUGAUGUUCGUUAUUCAUAUCGCACCAUCACCCUACCUUAUUUGUUGUUCACGUGGUAAGUCAAACCGUCAAAAAGCAUGAGGUCUAGCAAAGAUUUGAGAUAAGGAGAUAUAGACACUACACUAGGGUUCAACAUUAGUUUUUUUGUUACUGCACAACUUUAUCUUUUCUUUUUUAUUAUUUAAGUAUUAUGUUUAGAGACAAGACAUCAUGUUUAGAAGGGGGUGACAUUGGGAAUUAAUUGUCUUUUGUUAAUUAUCAGGUAGUCUGUAGUCGUUAGUUAAGCAUGCAGGCUACCAUGGAGGCUAAGCUUGGUUUCGAAUGUUUUGUUAAGUCUACCAUAAGUUAGUGUGGCAAUAUCAUGGAAAGGUGGCUUUCAUAUUUGGAAAGGGAUGCCCAGGACACAAAAGGUGGGAGAGCCGGGUAUGCUACCCUUGUGUUGACUUUGUAUUUGCGUAUAAGAAAUGCCUGCCAGGAUUUUCUAAUCUCAAGUCCCAUGUGUUAGAAAACUCUCACUUCCUUUACUUGUGUGUGUGUGUGUGUGUGUGUGUAUUCCAUAAUGUAAAACACAUCAUUGUGCAAUGUCUUUAGUUUCAUGUAUUGGAGCCUAUUGCUUUUGUUUCCUUCUAUCUCAUACUCUACAUCUCGAACCUACGAGUGCGGCCCUCCUUUCAUGUCAUGAAUGCCACUAGCAUCAAUACCCAUAUUCCCCUCUCUUGAUCUUCAAGACUCUUAACUACUCUUAAUUAUUCAAAACUCGCAACCAAGAGGGAGUAGUUUCCUGUAUUCUUGGCAAAUAUGCCCUCACCAUAUUCCCCUCUCUUGAUCUUCAAGACUCUUAACUAUUAAUUAUUCAAGACUUGCAACAAAGAGGCAGUAGUUACCCGUAUACUUGGCAAACAUGCCCUUAUGAACGAUGUUGACAAGCAUUGUUGUCUCAGGAUGUUUGUCGAUAGGAACCCGACCACAUUAUCCUUUCUUGGCUUUUUGGCUCCAUCUCCAUUGAGAUCUUGCUAAAGCCAUACACCCUGAUGCCACCAUACAAGCAUUGCAGUCAAACAUCGAAAAGCUCUUCCAUGACAUUUAGAAGGGCCUACAUUUCACCUUGACGCCGAAUUUCAUGUUCUUGUUCCAAAUUUACAUGAAAAUCAUCGAAUAUUAGCAUGAGUUACGUCUCAUGGUCUUAUUCACAACGACAUGGCAAAUACUGAAAUUGUCACAAUUUGAAAUAGGCUAGAUCGUGUUGGCCAACUAGUCUAUGAUGAAAGAAAGAUGGAGACAAUGUAAGACAGGUUGGCGUACAUAACUGAGCCUCUCAGUUAGUGUCCAAAUGUGUGAAAUAUUCAAUGGUUGUCAUGUCACAUCGACCACUGAAACUACUACAAAUGGCUUCGAAAUAGAUUUCUCAUCUCUAUUUGUUGGUUAGCUACUUCGCUGAGCUUCUUGAGUAUCAUCCACACUGCAUGUGUGGUGGCAAUGGAAUAGAGCCAGGUAAGAGAGAGAGCAAUACAAUUGUGGUUCUACUAGCAAGAAUCAAACGAGUUGAAAGGUGUCGCUUUCAACAUGGCUCUUAACAUUGUACUUGUCAAGAGUAUGUAGAAAUGGCUUAGUUCAUUUUGUGUAGUUAGAUGCUUGAACAUUGAUAGGAAUAUGAAUUUUGAUGCUUCUAAAUGUUCAUGGUGUCAAUGGUAGGCUCUGAUUCUACUAAAGAGAGUAGAUAUGUUGAAUACUAGUGUAUUUUAUACACCGUUUUAAAGACCGAACUGGUAGUUCAAUUGGAAAAACAGAAAAUGGAGGGUAGCUCAAUCCGGUUCAGCUAAGGGACCAUUACCAGCAUUGAACUGGUGUAAAGAACCGACUAUUUUUCUAAGAAGUCCUAACUGGGUGCGCUCGUGCGUGAGAAAAGGUGUGAAGGAAUAACGAGACAAAAGGUUGGAGGGGGAUCGAUUCCUGGUCUCUAGGGUGGGAACGUGUGCCCUUGCUACUCCACCACAUUUCCUUGUGCGACUAGUAUGCAAAAUGUAUUACUUAAGUGCUUUUGAACUGGUGGUUCUAUGGCCCAACCCUCGGUUGCACCGUUGAACCAUGAAUUGAGAGUCUUACUGGUUGGUCGACCGAUCAACGUGCACGUAUAUGGCUGUAUGCAAUGGAAGUUUCUUUAACAAGCUCCUCAACAAUCUUGGUCAAUACCAUUCUGAAUUUCAUCUCCCUCGUUGACUUAUCCCUUGCCACAUUUUGGUUAAUUGCUAGAGCACACUUGUGAAGGUUCCAUUUUAUUGAUACUAAAUAGUGCUGGUGUUUUAUGGAGUACAGGUAGGGUCAUCUUAGUGCAUGGAUCAUGAUGGUGUGAUGACUGCAAGAUUUUGGAGGACAUUUUAAGAAACAUGUGGAAAUAGUCAAGCAUUUGUUUGUAAAUGCAGUAUGUGAUGUGCCACCAUCCUUAUAUUGUUCUUAGGGGCUUUGAUCAACAUUCAAUAUGGUUGGUAAUUUUUAAUGCUUCUAAUUAUCUAUGUUGGGUUCCAUGGAUUCUGUUGUUUUUUCCUCUUAGGAUCUAUUUGUUCUAUUAGUAGUAUACUAACACAAUACAUGUCUUGAGAUUUUCAACAGACUGCUCGGUCCACUCAAAAAAGUCUGCAGCACCGAACACAUUUAAUAUUAUCAGACAGAAUUUAUUAAAAGCAAUUGUGGCUGCAAUCUGGUGAAACAAUACUUCUUUUUUCAAAAUUAUGAGGCAAUACUUAGAUCUUUCCGUUUACCACUGCUCUAGUUGUUGUGCCAAUCUUCUAUAUGGUAGUAAUCAUUGUGCGAAUUCCAGAUAAGGACUUUUACAAAUUUGCUUGCUUAUCUAUGCAAAUUAAUAAUUUACUUGUUUUCUUAGGAAUACUUGCCAUGACUUUGUUGAGGCUAAGUUUGUAGCUUAUUUGUUGAAUCUUAUGGAUAACAAAUGUUUCUUAGUGCUUGCCUGCAGUUGGAUAUUUUACAUACAAUUGCCUUCGUUUUUGAAAGUUAAAUUCACCUAUGUCUGCAUCGGAUGCUUCGGUUUAUUUUAUUCAUAGGCUUGUGCAUGAUCCAUUUUUAAUUUACCUGGCAUUUUGAUGAUUGCUUGAUUUCUAGCUGUCAUGCACAACUGCCUGUACACAAGGGUUUAUUGAACAUUGGUUAUUCUCAUCACUAUUCAUUUAUUUUCAGCAACCCCAAAACAAUUCGACCAAAGAUGAAUGAACUUCCAUACAGAUGUAAUGGCAUGUUGUAGGCUUGGGGUAGAGAAAGUAUUGGGUAUGAGGGAGGGAGGUGGAUGUUGGCUUUGGACCUUGUGUCCUGGAGCUGUAACUAAAAUAGAUGGAUUAGAUAGAGAUGCGAAUAAUAAGGAAGGAGAGAAGAGCUCAGCUCGAAAAGAACAUGAUACAUGAAGGAUAGGGAAACAUAGAAACAAGGUGGGUAAUUCUAUAUUUUGUCUAAUCUGAAAGAAAUUUCUCCAUCCUCUUAGAUAAUGGUCGGCCUAGUGAACUCAGCUAGAAGUAAGAUGAAUACAACUAAUUGAUAAGAUGGAUAUAUACUAAAUGGAAGGAUAUCUGCUACAGUCCUAGGCGACUAUUUGCUGCUUUAUGUGCCUGCUGUUACUUCUUUGUGUGCCAAAACACUUCUCCCCUCAAAAGACAUGUUGCGGGUACAAAUCAGCAACUAUGCCCUCCUAGGAUUUUGAGAUUUUGAUAAUUAUCAUUUAGUUUACUUUCAUCUUAUCAUUUAGUUAUUUCCAUCUUUUUUCUAGAUAAGUUUGUUAGGUCCACCAUUAACUAAUGGGAUGGAGACAUUAUUUUCUAAUGAAGCAAAAGAAUAAGAAUUAAUUACUUGUCUAUCUCCCUCAUUGUGUCAAGUAUGUUGUUUUUAUCCUGUCGAGCUCUCCUACUCCCCUUAGAUAUUGUUCACAUCUAUCUGAACCACGGCUACAGGAUGCAAUGCUAUAGAGCCAUGUCCACUUAUCUCUGGCUCAUUCCUAAUACGUUCUCUACCUGAACUCAUAAUGUAGAUUAACUAUUAGACUGAACAAUGAAAUUUUUUUAGUGGUUUUAUAGUGAAACUGUAAGUUUGAUUGUAUUUUCCAAAAACUUGGAUCUUUGAGUGACAUAUAAUUAAUUUUGUAUCCUAAAAAAAAUACUAGGUUCCACUGGGAUUUGAAUCCAGGUUGCCAGAUUAAAAAUCUAAAGUUGUCCCUUGAUGAUAUUUAUCACACAACAUAUCCAACAAAACGUAAAUAAAUUUAUUAAUCUGUGUCUUAUUCUUUUGUGAUGUAUGUCAUUUGACAAUCGCAAUAGCUGAAAAAUGUAUCUUUGAAAAUAUUGGUAAAGCAGUUUUUUGACCACAUUCGAUGAUAUGUGUGAACUUGUUUGAGUAUCAUGCUGGAAGUUUGGCAUGUUAGAAUGCACCCAUGCCACGGUCGCAUAAAUUUGUGAUUGUAUAUGCAACAUAGAGCACACUCAAAAUUAUGAAAUUUUAAUUUGGUUCAAAUCUAAGGCUGAGGCAGAGUAAUCCAUGGAAUGUAGUGAAUAGAGGACAAUAUAACUCAGACACUCAGUUAGCAUAGUCCCAAAUCUACAUUGAAUGGUGGCCAAAUUCAAGCUAUAAAAUAGAAGAGUAAAAUGCAUCACAGGUCCUCAAACUUGUCAAGCUGUGUUAUUUAGGUCCACAGACUUUCAAACUGCAGAUUUGAGCUAUUAAUAUUGUUAAGUCGUGCAUCAUGAGUCCAUAACCCUUCGCGUCCCUCUCUGGUGUACAUGUGGUGUGCCACCCGGGCGCCUGUGUGGCGUGCCAAAAAUUUUAAAAUAAAAAAUAGAAAAAAUCAGAAAAAUCAGGAAAAUAGAAAAAACAGAUUUUUAAAAAACAGAAAUAAUAGAAAAAAAAUCAGAAAUAAUAGAAAAAAUCAGAAAAAUGGAAAAAAAUCAGGAGAAAAAUAAGGACUCAUGAAUGUCACUAGUCUACAUGCAACACGUCCUGGCAUCUAUAUCCACAUGCAACACGUAAUGUCACUAGUCCACAUGUGCAACAUUAAAUAAUGCAGAUAUACAUGCCAGAAAGAAUAAAAAAUUAAAGAGUAUGUAGGACGUGUUGCAUGUGGUCUAGUGACAUAUUACGCUAUACUGCCAGUUAGCAAUAGGCUCACUCGUUGGUCUUUCCUAUUCUAAAUCCUUCCUAAAAGUAAAAUGUGUUAUAAAAUAGGAUGUGUUGCAUGUGGUCUAGUGACAUAUUUAUGCGUCUUGAUUUUUUCUAUUAUUUGUGAUUUUUUUUAAAAAAAUUCUGAUUUCCCCCCCUGAUUUUUUCUAAUUUUUUCUGAUUUUAAAAUUUUUUGGCACACCACCUCUGCACUAGAGGGGGGGGGGGGGGGCGUAAAGGGUUAUGGACCUGUGAUGCACGACUUAACAAUAUUAAUGGCCAAAAUCUGCAGUUUGAGAGUGUGGAUCUAAAUGACACAACUUGACAAGUUUGAGGACCUGUGGUGCAUUUUACUCAGAAUAGAAUUAGUAAAUCAUGGUAUAAUACGACUCUAAAUAUGGGAACUUUUUCGUCUGAAUAAUGUGGAAUAGUGAUACAACAACACAACUUAUUAUUAUCACUCAAUUUAGCAUGCAAAAACUAUCAUUAUACUAAACUGUGUGCAAAUUUGAAGCACAGUAGCCCAUUGGUGUCUAUUUUCGUGCUCAUUUGAGCUUUUGUUGUAGUUCCAAGUCCAACUACCCCACAAUGGGCCAUGUGCACGCUUUUGCUUGCAAUGCUCAAUGAAAUGUGUUGAGGAAAGCAAUUAUGUUCCAUAUUUUAACCUAUUCACCUUGAAUUCAACAGAAACUGAAUUCAGUUUUCCCAGUUUUGUAUUGUUAUUGUUCUGGUUAUCUUCUUUUUCCUUUUUCCAGAUGCUAGUAUCUGUCACUGUCUUGCUGCUGGAACCGAGGAUAUAAGGGCCACUCACCAUUUUUACAUAGUUCAGAUGGUGGCAUCAUUGCAAGUUAUUUUGAAAAUGCCAUACGGAAGGUGAAAGGAUGCCAGGAUGGCGCUUGAGAUGCUGUGAUGAUGCUCUUGAGCUGAAAUAUUAUAUCAUGAUGUCACCCAACAUGGGAAUUAUGGUCUUUUGUGUGGGCAAACAUGUAGACCUAAUGGUGUUAAUGCCUACUAAGGACUCAAUGGCAAGGGACCCCCAUUCCCUAUGUUCUCAAUGGCACCACAACAUUUUCAUUGACUUGGAUGGCACUUUUACAAUUGAACAUGUUUGGGAUGACAGAGUAGCAAUGCUCCAGCACAUGCAAGUGAGAUAAUUUUUUAGUUUGUUCGAAGAGGCAAUGCUGAGCAAAUGAGGGCUGGUACUGCUGUGCUGAGAAAUCUGUCUACUGAAGUUGCAGCUGUAGAUGAACAAGCUCCUGCAGAAGUAAACCUGCCCAGGCUGUGUGACUCCAUGUCGUCUUCUUCUACAGGGAAAGUUCUGGCGGAACUCACUUUCAUGACUGGAGUUGCUGUUGACAGAAACUCGAUAACCUGUCAAGGUCCAGAGGCACACUGGUGAUUUCACAUUUUCACACUUGUCUUUAAGGAAUUUCAGAUGGGAGAAUGCCCUUGAGCUUGCCAAACUGCGGUCUGAGGUUUUGGCCCAUAGAACGCAUGAGCAAUUAUUUCAUAUGAAUAAAGGCUCCAAGCAAUUUCAUAUGAAUAAAGGCCCUGUUGCAGUACAAGAAACGGAAAACACGCGGAAUACGUGAAAUGGUACCAGUGGCACUACUAUGUACACUUGGAACGUUAUCAUUUCGCUGUUGUCAAAUCUUUUAGUGCUGUACUCAAUAUAUUCCUGCAACCAAAUGCCAUUGUGUUAUGUGUAAUGAAAAGAAAUUAGCUUGCCUUGGAUAUAACUGGUGGUUGCUGGAAACAUCCACUCUCAGAAUCCCAAGAAUUUCAGCUGGUUCUCUACGUGCUGUGAAUGGUCUUUUGAGUAAUCUGAUAAUGUGCUAAGGUUCUUUGCCAUCUUUGAAGGCCUAGCUGAGUUGCUGGUGCACCUAAGAAGUGAAUUGGGUCUUGUUGCUCCAAAGUUUCUUCGUUCCCAUUAGCGUUGUUUUAGUUCUGUUGCGAUAAUUUAUGAGCUGAAAGUGUGUCCGUUCAAUCAGAGAACAGUAGUUUACAAACAUGGGAUGUACAUCGGGGGCCCAGGAACUAUGGUUUUAUGGUUUGAAGGGAACGGGAAGAUCAAAGCUUAACCCUGACUCACUUGUCCACCGCGUCGUGCUGGUACAUUUGCUCUGCGCGGCUCGAUCAUUUUCUGCGUGAAAGCGCAAUCCGUUUCCUAAAA